GUUAAGUCCCGCAACGAGCGCAACCCUUAUCCUUUGUUGCCAGCGGUCCGGCCGGGAACUCAAAGGAGACUGCCAGUGAUAAACUGGAGGAAGGUGGGGAUGACGUCAAGUCAUCAUGGCCCUUACGACCAGGGCUACACACGUGCUACAAUGGCAUAUACAAAGAGAAGCGACCUCGCGAGAGCAAGCGGACCUCAUAAAGUAUGUCGUAGUCCGGAUUGGAGUCUGCAACUCGACUCCAUGAAGUCGGAAUCGCUAGUAAUCGUAGAUCAGAAUGCUACGGUGAAUACGUUCCCGGGCCUUGUACACACCGCCCGUCACACCAUGGGAGUGGGUUGCAAAAGAAGUAGGUAGCUUAACCUUCGGGAGGGCGCUUACCACUUUGUGAUUCAUGACUGGGGUGAAGUCGUAACAAGGUAACCGUAGGGGAACCUGCGGUUGGAUCACCUCCUUACCUUAAAGAA
This 464-nucleotide ribosomal RNA is filed under the name Klebsiella pneumoniae. RNAcentral describes it as "bacterial SSU rRNA". It matches the Rfam family "Bacterial small subunit ribosomal RNA", at positions 1079 to 1533 of the family's 1533-position model. The record is from RNAcentral. Lineage: Bacteria; Pseudomonadati; Pseudomonadota; Gammaproteobacteria; Enterobacterales; Enterobacteriaceae.